UAUGAAAUUUUUUUUUUGUUUUAAAACGGGUGUUUGUUUUUGAAACUACGCAGCACUUUUUUGAGCAGUUAAAAUCUGCCUUUUUCCGUAAACUAGCAAGUAUUUGUUAUGUAAUAUAGUCAAGGUUUCGCUAAAAAUCCCAAAAAUUUUACAAUUUGCGUUGGCACCAACUUUGGGUCUACAUUUGCAGUGCUAUCUAUAAGUGAAAGUCCGGACUAUACCGAGACACAGGAACGUAAUCUGACUACGUAACUCUUCCGUGCAACUAUUUAAUGGUAGAUGUCUCUGGCAGUUAGGUGUCUUAUUUUUAACACUUAAACAAUGAUAGCAUAGGCAAAAUUACACAAAUUUUUGAAUAAGAUAAUAUAUUGUUUUAUUAGGAUUAAAAGUGGUGAUUUUUUGGCGAGCAAAAUUUUGGGAGUGAAAAAACCCACUUUUAAUCCGAAUGAGACAUGCUAUUUUUUGUCCUGCUAUUAAUGUAACACAAAAAUAGGAAAUAAUUCAAUAAAAAAAAUGUAAUGAAAAUGGAAUCAGUAGCCUGGUAUUCACGUAGUCAUGAUUACCUAUUUUUUAUUUACGUUGUGUCAUUGAUUUUCAAAAAGUAUCAAAAAUUUAUUCAUUUUUCGCCAACAAUGAAUGUUGAAGAAGAUUUGCCUCCAGAUGUGGUUGAAAAGGCACAAAUAGUGAUUGCAGACUUACUUCCGACCAAAUAGCUUGAAAUCUCUGAGUUUACCUAUAAGCGCUUCGUGAGAUGGUGUAAGGAGAAAAACAUUGAAACCUAUUCUGAAAACGUUUUGAUGGUGUAUUUUGCCAUUUUGGGAAAAACAAUGAAAUCAUCCACACUAUGGUCGCAAUAUUCGAUGGCAAAGACGAGUUUAAAUAUAAAAAAUGGAAUAGAUGUAGAAACAUUUUCUAAACUAAGAGCGUUUUUGAAGAAACAAGCGGAAGGUUACAAGUCAAAGAAAUCAAGAGUUUUAACAAAUGACCAAAUAGAAGAUUUUUUAAGCUAUGCUCCAGAUGAAAAAUAUUUAUUUACGAAAGUCGUUGUAAUCUUCGGAGUGAGUUGCGCAUGCUGUUGUCAGGAAUUGGUGGAAUUAAGAAUGGACAAUAUUGAAAAUGUUAAAUCAGGUUUACUUGUAACGAUUCCUCAUACGAAAAAUAAAAAACCAAGAUCAUUUACCGUUAUGGAGGAAAA
Long non-coding RNA from Zophobas morio, 1195 nucleotides. RefSeq lists it as uncharacterized. The transcript has 2 exons. The record is from RefSeq and is a predicted model, not a curated record. NCBI's taxonomy places the organism in Eukaryota, Metazoa, Arthropoda, Insecta, Coleoptera, Tenebrionidae.